RNAcentral lists this ribosomal RNA (490 nucleotides) under uncultured bacterium. RNAcentral's name for it is "partial 16S ribosomal RNA". It matches the Rfam family "Bacterial small subunit ribosomal RNA", at positions 30 to 507 of the family's 1533-position model. The record is from RNAcentral.
AUUGAACGCUGGCGGCAGGCCUAACACACGCAAGUCGAACGGUAACAGGAAACAGCUUGCUGUUUCGCUGACGAGUGGCGGACGGGUGAGUAAUGUCUGGGAAACUGCCUGAUGGAGGGGGAUAACUACUGGAAACGGUAGCUAAUACCGCAUAACGUCGCAAGACCAAAGAGGGGGACCUUCGGGCCUCUUGCCAUCGGAUGUGCCCAGAUGGGAUUAGCUAGUAGGUGGGGUAACGGCUCACCUAGGCGACGAUCCCUAGCUGGUCUGAGAGGAUGACCAGCCACACUGGAACUGAGACACGGUCCAGACUCCUACGGGAGGCAGCAGUGGGGAAUAUUGCACAAUGGGCGCAAGCCUGAUGCAGCCAUGCCGCGUGUAUGAAGAAGGCCUUCGGGUCGUAAAGUACUUUCAGCGGGGAUGAAGGGAGUAAAGUUAAUACCUUUGCUCAUUGACGUUACCCGCAGAAGAAGCACCGGCUAACUCCGUG